RNAcentral lists this ribosomal RNA (765 nucleotides) under uncultured Pseudomonadota bacterium. RNAcentral's name for it is "bacterial SSU rRNA". It matches the Rfam family "Bacterial small subunit ribosomal RNA", at positions 564 to 1334 of the family's 1533-position model. Lineage: Bacteria; Pseudomonadati; Pseudomonadota. The record is from RNAcentral.
AGCGAACGCAGGCGGACCUUUAAGUAGGAAGUGAAAGGUUGGAGCUCAACUCUAACACUGCUCCCUAUACUGGAGGUCUUGAGUGCCGGAGAGGAGAACGGAACAAGUUGUGUAGCGGUGAAAUGCGUUGAUAUAACUUGGAACACCAAUGGCGAAAGCAGUUCUCUGGACGGAUACUGACGCUCAGGUUCGAAAGCCAAGGUAGCAAACAGGAUUAGAUACCCUGGUAGUCUUGGCCUUAAACGAUGUUCACUAGGUGUUGGGGGGUAACCCUCGGUGCCGCAGCUAACGCAUUAAGUGAACCGCCUGGGGACUACGGCCGCAAGGUUGAAACUCAAAGGAAUUGGCGGGGGACCGCACAAGCGGUGGAGCAUGUGGCUUAAUUCGAUACAACGCGAAGAACCUUACCAGGGCUUGACAUGUAUCUGCAAGCUGCCGAAAAGCAGUCGCUUUCGAAGGUGAUACACAGGUGGUGCAUGGCUGUCGUCAGCUCGUGUUGUGAAAUGUUGGGUUAAGUCCCGCAACGAGCGCAACCCUCAUGUUAUGUUGCCAGCGAGUAAUGUCGGGAACUCAUAACAAACUGCCUCUGUAAAGAGGAGGAAGGCGGGGAUGACGUCAAGUCAUCAUGCCCCUUACGCCCUGGGCUGCACACAUGCUACAAUGGCUGGCACAAAGGGUUGCUAACCUGCGAAGGUAUGCUAAUCUCAAAAAACCAGUCUCAGUUCGGAUCGGGGUCUGCAACUCGACUCCGUGAAGUUGGAAUCG